Molecule: long non-coding RNA, 1586 nt
Organism: Zonotrichia leucophrys gambelii
Lineage: Eukaryota; Metazoa; Chordata; Aves; Passeriformes; Passerellidae
Exons: 4
Source: RefSeq, a predicted model, not a curated record
GUCCUUUUCAUAGCUCCAGAGGAUUUUUAGGAGCAUAGGGAGCAUGGGAUGCAUGGACCUGAGGACCCACAAAACCUUCUGGAGAAUGUUCGCUGUGGAUAAAAGCAUCUGGAAGUUUCUACCAUCUUUUUACCCUGAUUUUUCCUGGGUCACCCUGUGUCAUUUGUGGCCCUGAGGAUUAUAGCACACAGUCACUUACUGGAAUACCUCCCCAUGCAUCUUCUUGAAAUGGAGCCACUGCUUUACCCAGCUGGCAGAUAUUUUCUCCUCUCCCAGAGCUUUUCCAGUGCAGCAGCAGCACUCCUGUCCAGCAGGUCUCGAUUGACUGCAGAAAGGAGAAGGGAGGAGCAUGUCGAAGGGAGGUCAGAUCCUGCCAGGGUUUCCUGGCAAAUGAGGUCUAUCCACUGUUUGGAAGAUGAAACCUGAUGAGCUGCAAUUUGGGUUGGAUUACAGUAUUUCAGAAGACUUUCUGAACUUGCCAGGCAACCCUUCCCCUAGACUUUGGGGACAGAGGAAAUUAAAUUUAUAUUUCCAGUGUCACACAAGGAGAUGGAAUGGAGUUGGCUGCUUUACACAAGUAAUGAAAACCAAUGCUUUGCUGCUCUUGGAAGGAGUGCUCAAAAGGAGAAAAGUGUGGCAUACACAUCUUGGUUUAGAGACAGAUUUUAUCUGGGAAGAGUGUGCCCAGGGGAAGAUACAAGAGGAAGGAGAAGAGGUGAUGCUACAAGCCAGCUUCCUGACCUCCAGAGUGGGACUGAAGCUUUUUAACAAGAUUUUCUAAGUAUGGAAGCUCUCCUGAGGAGCUGCAUUAUGUGCUGCAGCCCCUGGGAUGGGAUGCAAUGCAAGGAGUGAAGAAGAGCUGCAAUGUACCACUGUUUUUGUGAGGAGAGGGGCUUUCUGGCAUGUCAUAUGGUGCCAAAAGACAUUUUACUCUUGGCAGCAAAAAUCCUUAUCCUUCUUGGUUUUUUUUUUUUUCCGGGACAGAUGCUAUUUCCUGUUAGAGAUGCUUUGUAUGCAAAUCAAGGUGGUACAACAAGAAAAAAGUCCUGAAAGCAAUCACACCGAUAAACUCAGCCCACUGGGGAAUUCCUGCUUAUCAUUUAUCUUUUGUUUUUUCAGUUCUGUACAAGAUACUUCUUUGCCUGUGCUUUCUUACAGUCUUUAAUGUUUGUCCUGCCAGACCUCUUGCUUGUGAGCUACAGUGCUUGCAUUUUGCAAGGCUCCAUGUCAGUCUGCACAAACAAAAGGCAGUAAGUGCUGGAAAUUGGGGUUAACAGUCCCUGUGUUUCAGCUUGAUCUUGCAUUGAUCUGGUGCUUUCUUAAGUUCAAACCAGAUGUGAGCCUCACACUACAGAUUGCCACAUGGCUAUAGUGAUGAUCUACUGGAAAGGUGAUCCCAGAAACCUCAGGAAUGAAAAAAAAAAAGAGAUAAAAAGCAAAAAGAAGCCAGCAAAAAGUUUACCUAGUAACUUAAACAGGAGUAGGAUUUGACUUGAGGCACCUCAAGAGAUGGUGUGGGCAGCACUGCACUAAUGCAGUAACAUGAGUAUGCAGUAACAUGAGUUGAUCACCUCAGUGCUCCAGCA